Molecule: ribosomal RNA, 253 nt
Filed under: uncultured bacterium
Lineage: Bacteria
Description: partial 16S ribosomal RNA
Rfam family: Bacterial small subunit ribosomal RNA
Source: RNAcentral
UACGUAGGGGGCUAGCGUUGUCCGGAAUCAUUGGGCGUAAAGCGCGUGUAGGCGGUCCGGUAAGUCCGCUGUGAAAGUCGGGGGCUCAACCCUCGGAUGCCGGUGGAUACUGUCGGGCUUGAGUACGGAAGAGGCGAGUGGAAUUCCUGGUGUAGCGGUGAAAUGCGCAGAUAUCAGGAGGAACACCAAUUGCGAAGGCAGCUCGCUGGGACGUUACUGACGCUGAGACGCGAAAGCCAGGGGAGCGAACGGG